GACGAACGCUGGCGGCGUGCUUAACACAUGCAAGUCGAACGGAAAGGCCCUGCUUUUGUGGGGUGCUCGAGUGGCGAACGGGUGAGUAACACGUGAGUAACCUGCCCUUGACUUUGGGAUAACUUCAGGAAACUGGGGCUAAUACCGGAUAGGAGCUCCUGCUGCAUGGGGGGGGUUGGAAAGUUUCGGCGGUUGGGGAUGGACUCGCGGCUUAUCAGCUUGUUGGUGGGGUAGUGGCUUACCAAGGCUUUGACGGGUAGCCGGCCUGAGAGGGUGACCGGCCCCAUUGGGCCUGUGAUACGGCCCAGACUCCUUCGGGAGGCAGGAGUGGGGAAUAUUGCACAAUGGGCGGAAGCCUGAUGCAGCAACGCCGCGUGCGGGAUGACGGCUUUCGGGUUGUAAACCGCUUUCGCCUGUGACGAAGCGUGAGUGACGGUAAUGGGUAAAGAAGCACCGGCUACCUACGU
RNAcentral lists this ribosomal RNA (467 nucleotides) under uncultured bacterium. RNAcentral describes it as "partial 16S ribosomal RNA". It matches the Rfam family "Bacterial small subunit ribosomal RNA", at positions 28 to 506 of the family's 1533-position model. The record is from RNAcentral.